UCCCCGUUGCCAGGGCAGUCUGAAUAGAAAAAUUCAACUAUUCAUAAGGGUUGCGCUCGUUGAUGGACUUAACCAAACAUCUCACGACACGAGCUGACGACGGCCAUGCAACACCUGUCACCUUGCUCAAUAAAGCACUCUCGCCUUUCGGCAAAAUUCAAGGGAUGUCAAGCCCUGGUAAGGUUCUUCGUUUAUCAUCGAAUUAAAGAACACGCUCCACCGCUUGUGCGGGCCCCCGUCAAUUCCUUUGAGUUUCAUUCUUGCGAACGUACUCCCCAGGUGGUGUGCUUACUGCGUUAACUGCGUCACGGACCCGCAAGUAGUGAGGAAGGUGGGGAUGACGUUGUACACCUGAAC
RNAcentral lists this unclassified non-coding RNA (357 nucleotides) under uncultured bacterium. RNAcentral's name for it is "contains 16S-23S intergenic spacer region". The record is from RNAcentral.